CGUUCAAUCUUGUUUUUGUUUUCCGGGCGCGACGUCCACUUGACGUCCUUUGUGGAGCGGUUCAGUCGCUUUUUUUGCUGCACACGUGAAGUGAUCCCUUAGUAUUUCCUGUGAAUGUAGGAGGUUCGGAUGCGGACCCCGCUGCAUGGAAUACGAAGAUGCGAAAGUUUAUUGAUCUCAUAGCACUGGGUGAGGGAGAACGGCAACAAUGAGGAGCUCAUACAUCCUUAGCUCAACGGUGAUUCUUUUGCUGCUUUGGAUGAAAACAGAAAUAGUAUUAGAGGCGAGCAAAAUCAAAACUGGGGUCGAGAUUUUGAUGAAGUUCUACAAACCAUGCGUGACUGGAUGGAAUAGCACCAAUUGUUUUCGGGAAAAAACUGUGCAUCAACCAGACCCCGCACACAUGACCAACCGCACUUUACCACAAACAGAUAACACGAUGCCAUCCGAAGACCCACCCCCACAAGACAACGCAACUUCUACCAAAAGGAGCCAGACUAAUUAUGCCGUGGGCGCAAAUUUAAACUUCACACUUAUUGGUUUGGUUCGCAAGAUUGUACGAUUAUUCUCAACGGUUGCGACCUCCGGUAAAACUGUGAAUCCAUCCAUGGCCAGAUCAAACGAACCUACCGAUGAUCAACGGAAAGACGAAAAAAAUUCAGCUAUCAAGGGCAAGAAAGUUCAGAAAGACGCCUCAGAAUACUCAGAGGACAAUAACUACACGGAGGAAGAUAUGCAAUUCGAGCCAGAUCAAGGUCACGAAGGUGGUGAUAUGGGUUACGCGGGAGAGGAAGAGGAACUUGAGAUGGAGGAACCGGAAGAGGAAUCGGAGGAAGAAGACGAGGACGACGAUAGUGGAGGUGGUGGUGGAUACAUGCGUCCUAUCGCGAUGAAUAUGGGCGCCAUAAUGACAAAACCCAGCAUGGAGCCGCAGAAAAUCCCCAACUCAGGGUCAGUGAGCCUCAAGAAAGAACCAUCCUCAAUGAUGCCCGGCAUGAGCUGGCCCAUGAGACCCAUGCAGAUGAUGCCUCUUAUGGGAGCCCCCAAUGGAGGUGAAAUGAUGAUGCCCCUAAAAAGUGGUGACGAAGACGACGGUGGCCAAAACAUGGUGCCCAUGAUGAUGAUGAUGAUGCCGUCCUCCGACUCAUCGCACCACGACAAACAUAAACACAAGGACAAGCAUAAGCACAAAAAGAAGAAGAAGAAAAGAAGCAUAAGAAGAAAAAAGAGAGUGCAGCCGCCGCUAUGAUGGCCGAUAAAAUGGACGGUAGUGGAGAUGGUGGCGGCAUGAUGCCCGACCCCUCAACCAUGAUGAAAAUGGGGAUGAUUGGGGUUGGGGUAUGGUUUUGCUCAUCCUCAAAGCCAUCACGCUGAUUUCGGGUAAAGCUGUUCUUGCCAGCACCAUAGCGCUCACCUUAUCUAUCAUAAUGGCCUUAAAAGCGCUCUUCAACUCAGUCCAUGCGCAUCCACCAGAGGGCGCUGAUAAGGUCAUGACUUACAUGAAGAAGCCGAUCCAUAUCAACGCUGACGCUGGUUACCCGGACUACAGGAACUACCAUGGGAGUGACUGGGGCUACCAUGAUUCUAGUUACUUUCCAACGAAGAAGUCCGGGAAGCUGCCAGAGUAUAAGAUAGAUAAACUCAAGCGAACUGAUAAGACUCCCACAACCCUAGCUCAUACUGAACUCACAACGAGCAGUCCCGUUAACCCUUUCGACUUCAACCCGGAGACGUAUAGCUCGGCAAAUAUUAUAAACUAUAAAAGUGGUCUGAAUAACAGUGGUAUCAGCCAAUUUUAUUCACAUUCCGUCCCACUUUAUACAGGAUAUGCUCCGAUCAAUUCUUGAGGAUUCUUUUAUUCUUGAAAAAUAAAAAAUUCAAAAUAAUCGCAAUAUUUUUCCUUACCUUUUGCAAAAUAUAGUUUGAAUCUACUAUGCUACUACUACAAAUUCUCGUUUUCUGAUAUUCCCACAUUGCAGUUUU
RNAcentral lists this long non-coding RNA (1983 nucleotides) under Bemisia tabaci. RNAcentral's name for it is "lncRNA ENSASIAIIG009521". The record is from RNAcentral. Lineage: Eukaryota; Metazoa; Arthropoda; Insecta; Hemiptera; Aleyrodidae.